Molecule: ribosomal RNA, 438 nt
Filed under: Bacillus sp. enrichment culture clone A1e
Lineage: Bacteria; Bacillati; Bacillota; Bacilli; Caryophanales; Bacillaceae
Description: partial 16S ribosomal RNA
Rfam family: Bacterial small subunit ribosomal RNA
Source: RNAcentral
GGNACCGGGGGNACCUGCCNAUANACUGGANACUCCGGGAACCGGGGCUAANCCGGANACAUUUUGAACUGCNUGGUUCGAAUUNAAGGCGGCUUCGGCUGUCACUNUGGAAUGGACCCGCGUCGNAUNAGCUAGUUGGUGAGGUAACGGCUCACCAGGCAACGAUGCGUAGCCGACCUGAGAGGGUGAUCGGCCACACUGGGACUGAGACACGGCCNUAACUCCUACGGGAGGCAGCAGUAGGGAAUCUUCGGCAAUGGACGAAAGUCUGACGGAGCAACGCCGCGUGAGUGAUGAAGGCUUNCGGGUCGUAAAACUCUGUUGUUAGGGAAGACCAAGUGCUAGUUGAAUAAGCUGGCACCUGGACGGUACCUAACCAGAAAGCCACGGCUAACUACGUGCCAGCAGCCGCGGUAAUACGUAGGUGGCAAGCGUAUC